AAUGGGCGCAAGCCUGAUCUAGCCAUGCCGCGUGAGUGAUGAAGGCCUUAGGGUCGUAAAGCUCUUUCGCCUGUGAAGAUAAUGACUGUAGCAGGUAAAGAAACCCCGGCUAACUCCGUGCCAGCAGCCGCGGUAGUACGGAGGGGGUUAGCGUUGUUCGGAAUUACUGGGCGUAAAGCGCGCGUAGGCGGACAUUUAAGUCAGAGGUGAAAUCCCAGGGCUCAACCCUGGAACUGCCUUUGAUACUGGGUGUCUUGAGUUCGAGAGAGGUGAGUGGAAUUCCGAGUGUAGAGGUGAAAUUCGUAGAUAUUCGGAGGAACACCAGUGGCGAAGGCGGCUCACUGGCUCGAUACUGACGCUGAGGUGCGAAAGUGUGGGGAGCAAACAGGAUU
This 392-nucleotide ribosomal RNA is filed under the name uncultured Gammaproteobacteria bacterium. Its description in RNAcentral is "bacterial SSU rRNA". It matches the Rfam family "Bacterial small subunit ribosomal RNA", at positions 370 to 779 of the family's 1533-position model. Lineage: Bacteria; Pseudomonadati; Pseudomonadota; Gammaproteobacteria. The record is from RNAcentral.